CCCCACUGGAUCUCAUGAGUUUUUUGCCCCAGAAAUAGAGAAUCAAAUGAGAUGAGGUUUGCUCAUGUCAUGAUGUAUUCAUUCUCUUGACUUUCCCAAGAAAGUAACUCUGUGGCAGAACUGUAGUCUGUGGGACUGCCUGUUUAAUUUCCAGUAAGCAAUGAGAAAUGUUUGCAGAUUUAUCUCUUUCCUCUUACGACUCCGACAUAUUAUGAGCAGCACCAGACAACAUUGGCUUUUGUAAAUGAUGUACAAACACAUGGAUGCACUUUUUGAGCAGCAAGAGGUGAAACAAGAUAUUACAGUGAUAUCCCACGGUACAAAACUAAGCCGACUGCUUCCAUCAGUAGAUGAAUUGGCCAACGUGGAUCCAUGAAUUGUUCCUGCCAUUAUGAAGACACAAAGGAAGACGUCUCAGCUUGCUCACCGCAGUGUCAUUCACUCUCGCUGGCAGCCAGGUCCUCCAGCACCCUUGUUUGGGUCUGUGUUCCUUCUGUCAGCUUAGGUUUUUCCAUAGCCAUCAAGAUCUCUAAAUAUCUCUUCAGUUCCUCACUGCGUACAGAUUCAAUUAAUCUGGAAUAUGGUGGUGCUGUGGAAGAGAAUGCUCCUGCAAAGGAGACUGUUCUGUUAACAGAAAGCUACGGAAGUAUCCUGCAAGUAUCAUUUGUUAGACUGUUGCUUCCACUACCAUACCUGAAAACCUGGAAUCAUCAGUCUGUAACGAAGCCCCCAUCUGCAGUGGUGCAGCCCCUCAAGUUUGAGUUGUUUUGAGUUCCUCUCUCAGACUUUUGAUACUUAAUCUCAAUUGCUAAAUUGACUCAGUGUGAUGCAGAAUAUCUUCUCUUUAUUUGUGCUGUUAUCAGAAAAAUCUGGGAAGAAAACUCUCCAACUCCAAUGUGAUGUUAGCAGUAGCAUUCCUUUAUUCUUGUAAUACAUACUGGGCGACUUGACAAAUGAAGCACAUGCUCCCAGAUUUCAGGUUCUGCGUUUAAACAGUUAAGACAUACACGUGCAAUACAUUGGCAUACAUACUCACCCUUGUCAAAGAACUCAUUAACAUAUUCUAAUGUCCCUCUGAGCGUGAGCGGUCAUGUCUACAGUGGUCGUACCACCUCCUGCUCCUCCCCUUUGUUUCUCCUUCACUUUCAUCACAGUGUCCUUUCACCAACCUUUUUGCUGUUUCUCCCCAGUUUGACUUGUUAUGCCAUAAUGAGCAACAGUUCAUAUGAAGCCCAAGAACAAGCACCUGGUGGAUGCAAAGAUAAAAGCAGCCAAUUGCAACUUCAGUGCUUCAAUGAAGUGGGGAUUGUUCAGAAAAACAAGACUGUUCACAUACCAAGAAAAGCUAAAUUAGAAAAAUUUAGAACUAUCACAUAUUAAUUCCUUUUUGCUAAACUAAUAUAAUGGUCCUUACGCUGAUAUAUUGAUCCCUAUUGCUAAGCCAACCUCUAUCAGUGCUACAAAAUAUUGAUAGAUAUGCAGAUGUUGAAAACACUUUGGAAACGUUAACUACUAUUCAGAUUUUCCAUCUCUACUUCUUAGGUUCUUUUUAAAAGCUGUAAGAAUUGACAGAUUUUGUCCACCAAGCUAUAUUCAGCUUACUAGUAUAGUCAUCAUUAUUGAAUUUCUGAUAUUACUUGCUAUGGCUAAUGUUCUUCAAAGUGCUAGAUGCAUUUAGAAUGGUGUAUGAGCAGUAAGCCCCCUGUGUGUGGGUCCAUGGGUUCCUCUGACCCAUCAGUCACAGUUCUAGGUUGAACCAAGCUGGAACCCUGACGUACAUACACGCAGUUCCUGAGAAACAUACUGAAUUAAAGUGAUUUGACCACCCAAGAAUUACAACCAAGUGACUUGCUUUCUAAUCUCUAGGUUUGCUACAUGGUGGUCAGAGUAAGGAAAUAAUUGCAAUAGCCAAAGACAACUGCAAUAAUAUAAUCCUUAUGGGGAGAAAGCCCUUAGUAUGGGUUUGAUGCCGGUUCACACUGGACUUCUCACAGCUCAGAAAACAACACAUCCUGGGACAUGCACUGUUCCCAGCAGUGACCAACUCUGUGCACACAGUUCUGUCUGAGCAAAUGAGAAGGACAUGAUUGCUUUUGUUGCAGCAGAAGAGACUAAAGAGGAUUUAAGAGAAUACUUCACAUUACAGUACGUAGAAGCUCUGGCUCUACACUAUCUUAGCUGACUUGUAGCAACUCAUCAAACCCUGAUGUCACAGCUUUGCUGCAGAGCUCUACAGAUACAUCCUUACUUCCAGCUAAUUCAAACUUCCCUGCAGAUACUGCUAUCAAAACUUUCUUUGCUCACAAACAAAACAUUAUUACCUGAGAGAGUUACAUAGGGCAAGUGAAUGCUCAAUCGUAGCUCUGCAGUGUGGCCUCUCAUGCACAAGCAAAUCCACGUGCUAAGUACCUCACACAGUAAAAAUAACGGUAUGUAGUUUACUGUUGUAGACAGUAGUUAAUGAUUUUCCCAAAUGCUCUGUAUUUGUACUGCUAUUAAAAAAUUACUAUUUUUGUUAAGACAACAUUUAGGUGAGGGUUUGGGGGUUUGCUAUGGUCUUAUAUUCGUAUGGAAACUAUUAUAAUGCUCACGUGCCCCUAACUUCUCAAUCAUAACCUGUCAUAUAGCAGGCAGGAAAUUCUGAGAGAUUCCAGAGACCUCUGACUCAGAAACAUAGAAGGUUUGAUCUCAUGCCAAUGUAGUUUCAAUAUGGUAAUUGGGGAAAGCAAAAAACCUUUUCUUUGUCUGCAGCACUUUCAAAAUGGCAUAACCUAGACAAUAGGAGAAGCAAGACCACAGUGAUUUUAGUGCUAUAUUAGUAGGUUUUCCCACAAAGAAUAUCUUAAUAAGGACCUUAAGAAAGUAUCCUCUAGACAACAUGUUCUUUGCUGUGUAUUCAGUGUAGAGCAAUGUGUGUGAGUAUGAACUGAGCUCCACUGACUUAAUUACAUGAAAUUCCUGGUUUUCCUCUGAAAUGGGAUAGUGAGUGAGCCUCCUCAACAAACUCUCAACAGACGGUAGCUGCCAACAAAAUAAAUGAGUUUCCUUGGUUUGUUACCUUCA
This 3063-nucleotide long non-coding RNA is filed under the name Phasianus colchicus (ring-necked pheasant). Its description in RNAcentral is "lncRNA (ENSPCLG00000006911.1)". Lineage: Eukaryota; Metazoa; Chordata; Aves; Galliformes; Phasianidae. The record is from RNAcentral.